RNAcentral lists this ribosomal RNA (481 nucleotides) under uncultured bacterium. RNAcentral's name for it is "bacterial SSU rRNA". It matches the Rfam family "Bacterial small subunit ribosomal RNA", at positions 30 to 507 of the family's 1533-position model. The record is from RNAcentral.
AUUGAACGCUGGCGGCAGGCCUAACACAUGCAAGUCGAGCGCGAAAACACUUCGGUGUGAGUAGAGCGGCGGACGGGUGAGUAAUGCUUGGGAAUCUGCCCAGUAGUGGGGGAUAACGUGUGGAAACGCACGCUAAUACCGCAUACGUCCUACGGGAGAAAGCAGGGGAUCUUCGGACCUUGCGCUAUUGGAUGAGCCCAAGUCAGAUUAGCUAGUUGGUGAGGUAAUGGCUCACCAAGGCGACGAUCUGUAGCUGGUCUGAGAGGAUGAUCAGCCACACUGGGACUGAGACACGGCCCAGACUCCUACGGGAGGCAGCAGUGGGGAAUAUUGCACAAUGGGCGAAAGCCUGAUGCAGCCAUGCCGCGUGUGUGAAGAAGGCUCUAGGGUUGUAAAGCACUUUCAGUGGGGAGGAAAAGUUUAAGAUUAAUACUCUUGAACCUUGACGUUACCUGCAGAAGAAGCACCGGCAAACUCCGUG